UUACCUUUCCUGUAGCUAAGUUGGUCGAGCAUUGCGUUAGCAGCGCAAAAGGUCAUACUAGCUUGAAUGCACAUUGGGUCGCUUGGAUAAAAAUCGUUAUUAGGGUCUGUUUAGAAUUACAAACAUUUUUGUAGUAAGCUGUGCACGAGGGCUUGGGCCAAAAUGCCAGAUAAGAAAAAAAUGCAAAUAUGAGUGGGUAAAAAUGUUAGACUUAAGUAUGUUUUAUAUUCUAUUGUAGGUUAAUGUAGUUUAAAAUGGGUUGCAAGUUGCAUGCUUAUAUAUACACAUACUGUAUAUAAAGACAUCUAACUCGCCCUGUUCCUCUUUUUCUCAGACUAAAUUCUCUGUCUCGCUCUCUCUCCUCUAUAUUUCCUCUGAGAAAACAGCAGAAGUGUUUGACUGAGGAGGCGUAUCCAGGAAAUAGUGGCAGGCCCUGACUUCCCGUGUGACAGGUGCACGAUGCCGAGCCUGACAGCUGCUCUCUCUCUCUCCUCUCUCUCUUGCUAUGGCCAGCUGCAGUAUUGCUCUUGUUUGCUUUGGCUGUUGUCAUUACAGCUUGCUGAUUUAUGGAGCACAAAAGACUGAAAACUGCCCAUAACAUACACAAACUACCGCAAAGACACAUGCAUAAUCUGAAUGGAUCCACAGUUUUCCAUACAGUUAAGACUACUACAAAUACACAAUUUCAAACCUUCAAAAGAAAUUGCAUGUCCUUGAAAACUCAUUAGACAGAAUGAAGUCUUUGGAUUUGAUGCUUCAUUGCCACUCACAGUGAUGUGUUAAACAGCAGCACUGACAGGUAUCGCCUUUACUUCAUUCACAGCGAGUCAGAAAAACAAACCACUGGAUGCUUGUGGGAUGAGAGAGUAACGGUUGAGAGCUAGAUGAAAGUCUUUUAGAUGGUUUGUGGGGAUAAUUCGGCACAUCAGAUAUGUUUUGUAUAAAAAACAAUAUGGGCACCCAUGACCCCCUUAUGAUUUAAUCUCUUCAGAUGCUUUAAUGGUGCCACAUCUAUCUUUAUUGUGUUGAAUAUUUCUUUUCAUUUUUAAUUCUUAUCUGUCAUUUGCAUCUUUAUCUCCAGUUCCCAUACACAUCUGCCAUACAAUCUCUCUCGACAUCAUUUCCAGUUUGAUGUACUUAGUAAAACAUAUGGAAAUAAUAUCUUACAGUAUAAAAGUGAAUGUGUAGCUUUCGAACUAAGCACAAAUCUCUGCAGGAAUUUAUAGCAACAACCUCUUCUUAUAUAUUCCUCCAUAAAUCUUGAACAUUCCACAAAUCCUAUUUACUCACUUUUUCUAGAUGAAAAUUAAACAUCAAGUUUGAUACCUGGCUGUGGAACGAUGAAUAAUCGGAGGACAGUCCCGUGUUAGACACAAGAGACUGAAUCUCCGCUCAAACCCAUUUCAAGAAUGACAGAACAGUCCAGCGCUCCGCUUCUGUUUCCAUGAGAUAACGGCUGCUUUAAUUUGUGCAAAUACGGCACAUGGAUAAACAGGCCUGAAACCAUGGCGAUUGCCCCCUUGCGUGCUCUCGCUGGCACUCCCGCCCGGAGCCUGGGGUUUCCACGGUAGGACGGCCGGACGGGCUUUUGGGAUCGUACAGUUGGAUUCCACACAAUGAGAUAUGGGAGAUAUGAAAUCAGGACAAGACAGAUUAGACUACAACCUGCAGUUCGGUGCAGCGUAUCGACAUGGCAACCAUGUGUCAUAAGGUUACUCGAGGGUUAGGGUACCUGACCGAUCAGGUGGCUGUGCUUACGGAUGACUACCUGACCCCACCCUUCAGAUUUCACUUCCUCCCUCCCCCCGUUGAGCUGCCGGCCGGCUGCUCGCACCCGUCUUCCGCCCACCGCCAUCUGCUCCUCUCGUUAAUUACGAGACGGCAAACUUCACCUGGAACUGCACUCAAAUUACAAUAAUUACCUCCAGCGCACACCACGUCCCCUCUCCACACUGCAAGAUGGUGACACGGGGACAACCUCAAAGUGGGUGUCCUUUACUAGUAAACUAAAGAUGCGUCACAGCCGUACGAGCUGACAUAUGUCCAUGUGACAAUUUUAGCCUCCCAUGCAGAUCUUUCACAAUGCAAAUAUUCAUGUAUAAUGUUUCACCUAAGAAUACUUAUUUUUUUUUGCUGUCAUUGCAAAUAGUUUUUUCUAAAAUAAAACUUUCUACUGAAGAG
Non-coding RNA from Misgurnus anguillicaudatus (oriental weatherfish), 2181 nucleotides. NCBI's taxonomy places the organism in Eukaryota, Metazoa, Chordata, Actinopteri, Cypriniformes, Cobitidae. The record is from RefSeq and is a predicted model, not a curated record.